UAUUUUUCUGGAAAAACAUCGUUUUUCAAGAAGGAAUAAUUGGUUCAUAAUUUAUGCGCCUAAACUUAGUCCUCAUAGAAUGUCAUAAUUUCAUACUUGAUCCUCAUAAUAAGACUAUCUAACCUCCAAACAAAGGCUAUCUGAAGAUCUAACUAAUAUCAAAAAUUCCAACAACACCACACUUAUGCUCAAUGAAAGCUUCUCUUCUCGACCUAUGGGUCAAUUUCCUUUCACGUCAAGCCAUUCCAUGAACAGCAUGGCCUGCUCACCAACAUAAAUUUGACACUGCAAAGUGGCGGCAUCCGGUUGUAUCUGAUAGUCUGCAUGUGUUAAAUGAAUAAUUAGUUACCGUAAUCAUGAGAGGCUGGCACUUAUUGUUUUCAAACAGAAGUAUGUGUUCAAGUCUAAACUACAAACAGUAACACACCCUUAAGAGAAGUAACCAUCUUGCAUGAGCACCCGAUCUAAUAGCAUGAGUAUGACAUGGCAAGUUGGGUCAGUUAGAGGAUAUAAUACAAACAACCAUAGCAAUCAAUAAAAAAGACCAUAGGAUCAUAUACACCAAAGUGAAUCGUUCUCCCUUCCUAAGAAGAAUAAUCACCUUCAAUUUAAAGAUCAGUGCUUGCAUAGAAUUGUAGUUGGAGAGUAACUUCACUUUAAACAAAUAUAAAGAUUUUAAUUUUGAAAUAAUUCACUUGUUCCAAAAGGCCUCUUCCGACAUGUAACACACUGACAAUUUACUUUUUAAAUAAUUCACUUGUUCCAAUAAUCCACUUUCUCAAGUUCAGCAUAACUAAAAAGGGAUCAGAAGUAUAGAUGACAAAUUCUUGACCUUAACAUAUGUGUAUUAUGUGAUGAUGGAGUAGUGACUCCGUAAACAGAUUGUUAACAAACAAAAGAGGGAUACAACCUACAUUUUCACUUGUUCUCUGAAGCGAUUAACAAUGUAAUUUUUCCAGUCAAAUAAUACAUGGUAAAUCCGAACACAGGUAGGCAAUCUAAGGAACGAACACGGAUAAACUGGAUUAAGUGGACGUGGUGAUAUGUCCCUGACAGUUCAUGCAGAGAAAUAUUAUGAUGUAUUCCACUUCAUCCUGACUAACAAGCUGAAAAUACAUACCUCGAUCGUGCACUCCCUGUCAGCGUGAGGUGCUACCGCUAAUUACCCCAGUGAACCACUCCAUUCCCAAAGUCAUUUCACAGGAACUACUUGACUUAGCAAAACAAAAAAUACAUCAGUGAAGAUACCAAGUGUGAUGGUCACAAACUCAAAGUUAUUCAAAUCUGGGCAAAUAUGCAUAGAUCGAGUGUAAUUAUACAUCUUCAGAUUUUGUAAAUCUUCUCUUAAUAUACUGAAGCAGUGCUACUGCCUGGCAUCUUCCAAAUAAAGUGCAAGCACACCCAAUGAAGAUAAUGACGGCAUUGGCGGACGGGUUGACCACUUGACUACCAAAAAUCCCCUGUGUCGCAAGAAUUAACAACAAAAACAUGUUUCAUACCCUCAUACAUAAGAAAGAAUACGCCUGCUCAGUACUUCGAAGCGAUCAAUUUCUUGAUCCCCAAUUUUUAUUGAGGCCUGUUGGAAAAAAUGGAUCUGAAAAGGAAUAAAAAGAUCACAUCAAUUGGUGAGGCAGCUACUGCCGCCUACGAAGUGGAGACCAGCAGGUGAGCUGCUCCGCCAUGAACCUGUGUUAGCUUGAGUCCAUGUCCCGCGGCAGCGUUGCCCAACAAAUUACCUCUCAGAUCAACUACUAAUGGUUACCUGAACCUGACGAAGGAGUAGGACAAGACCCAAUAGCGUGAGCGCCGGAGCAGAAACCUCCGGAGGCCUCCACUCGCCGCACCAGCCGGCGUCGGACUUCCGUCACACCGAGAAUCCCGCCCUCACGGCGUCCCCGCCGGUGGUGUUCCCUGCGGCCAGCGGAUCCGCCAUGGCAAAAUCGUACGGGACGACUAAAAUCGACCUGCACCUGCACACCACCCCUAUGCCCAGUACGUACUCCGGCGCCGGCGUACGUUGGGCAGACUGUAGUACGAUCACCCCUGGCGACGCAGGCAAAGGCGGCGUACACCAAUGACAGCUGCUUACGAACUCUCCUUCUGCCCCGCCGCCAAGCUCGCCCAUGGACGGACGCGAUCAAGAGUUGUGCAGAUAAGAGGGAGGAGUGAAGAAUUUCUCGAUGGGACUCGCUCCUACCGCCGAUGGCCUGGACCGCGACCACGGCGGCGGACGAGGAGGGGGGAGUCAGAGAGAAAAAUUGGAGCGGGCAAGUGAUGAAAUCGGGAGCAACGGAGUGCGGAAGAUGGGG
Molecule: ribosomal RNA, 2309 nt
Filed under: Triticum aestivum (bread wheat)
Lineage: Eukaryota; Viridiplantae; Streptophyta; Magnoliopsida; Poales; Poaceae
Description: partial small subunit ribosomal RNA
Source: RNAcentral